CCUGAGUACGACGGAGCACGUGAAAUUCCGUCGGAAUCUGGGAGGACCAUCUCCUAAGGCUAAAUACUCUCUAGUGACCGAUAGUGAACCAGUACCGUGAGGGAAAGGUGAAAAGUACCCCGGAAGGGGAGUGAAAGAGAACUUGAAACCGUGUGCUUACAAGUAGUCAGAGCCCGUUAAUGGGUGAUGGCGUGCCUUUUGUAGAAUGAACCGGCGAGUUACGAUCUGAUGCAAGGUUAAGCAGAAAAUGUGGAGCCGUAGCGAAAGCGAGUCUGAAUAGGGCGAAUGAGUAUUUGGUCGUAGACCCGAAACCAGGUGAUCUACCCUUGGUCAGGUUGAAGUUCAGGUAACACUGAAUGGAGGACCGAACCGACUUACGUUGAAAAGUGAGCGGAUGAACUGAGGGUAGCGGAGAAAUUCCAAUCGAACUUGGAGAUAGCUGGUUCUCUCCGAAAUAGCUUUAGGGCUAGCCUCAAGUGAUGAUUAUUGGAGGUAGAGCACUGUUUGGACGAGGGGCCCCUCUCGGGUUACCGAAUUCAGACAAACUCCGAAUGCCAAAUAAUUUAACUUGGGAGUCAGAAUGUGGGUGAUAAGGUCCAUAUUCGAAAGGGAAACAGCCCAGACCACCAGCUAAGGUCCCAAAAUAUAUGUUAAGUGGAAAAGGAUGUGGCGUUGCCCAGACAACUAGGAUGUUGGCUUAGAAGCAGCCAUCAUUUAAAGAGUGCGUAAUAGCUCACUAGUCGAGUGACACUGCGCCGAAAAUGUACCGGGGCUAAACAUAUUACCGAAGCUGUGGAUUGUCCUUUGGACAAUGGUAGGAGAGCGUUCUAAGGGCGUUGAAGCAUGAUCGCAAGGACAUGUGGAGCGCUUAGAAGUGAGAAUGCCGGUGUGAGUAGCGAAAGACGGGUGAGAAUCCCGUCCACCGAUUGACUAAGGUUUCCAGAGGAAGGCUCGUCCGCUCUGGGUUAGUCGGGUCCUAAGCUGAGGCCGACAGGCGUAGGCGAUGGAUAACAGGUUGAUAUUCCUGUACCACCAUUAUUCGUUUUAAGCGAUGGGGGGACGCAGUAGGAUAGGCGAAGCGUGCUGUUGGAGUGCACGUCCAAGCAGUGAGAUUGAGUGUUAGGCAAAUCCGGCACUCUUAAGAUUGAGCUGUGAUGGGGAGAGGAACUUGUUCCUCGAGUCGUUGAUUUCACACUGCCGAGAAAAGCCUCUAGCUAGAAUAACGGUGCCCGUACCGCAAACCGACACAGGUAGUCAAGAUGAGAAUUCUAAGGUGAGCGAGCGAACUCUCGUUAAGGAACUCGGCAAAAUGACCCCGUAACUUCGGGAGAAGGGGUGCUCUUUGAGGUUCACGCUUCGAAGAGCCGCAGUGAAUAGGCCCAAGCGACUGUUUAUCAAAAACACAGGUCUCUGCUAAACCGUAAGGUGACGUAUAGGGGCUGACGCCUGCCCGGUGCUGGAAGGUUAAGAGGAGUGGUUAGCGCAAGCGAAGCUACGAAUCGAAGCCCCAGUAAACGGCGGCCGUAACUAUAACGGUCCUAAGGUAGCGAAAUUCCUUGUCGGGUAAGUUCCGACCCGCACGAAAGGCGUAACGAUUUGGGCACUGUCUCAACGAGAGACUCGGUGAAAUCAUAGUACCGGUGAAGAUGCCGGUUACCCGCGACAGGACGGAAAGACCCCGUGGAGCUUUACUGUAGCCUGAUAUUGAAAUUCGGUACAGUUUGUACAGGAUAGGUAGGAGCCUUAGAAGCGUGAGCGCUAGCUUACGUGGAGGCAUUGGUGGGAUACUACCCUAAUUGUAUUGGAUUUCUAACCCGCAGCACUUAUCGUGCUGGGAGACAGUGUCAGGCGGGCAGUUUGACUGGGGCGGUCGCCUCCUAAAGAGUAACGGAGGCGCUCAAAGGUUCCCUCAGAAUGGUUGGAAAUCAUUCAUAGAGUGUAAAGGCAUAAGGGAGCUUGACUGCGAGACCUACAAGUCGAGCAGGGUCGAAAGACGGACUUAGUGAUCCGGUGGUUCCGCAUGGAAGGGCCAUCGCUCAACGGAUAAAAGCUACCCCGGGGAUAACAGGCUUAUCUCCCCCAAGAGUUCACAUCGACGGGGA
RNAcentral lists this ribosomal RNA (2102 nucleotides) under Staphylococcus pseudintermedius. Its description in RNAcentral is "partial 23S ribosomal RNA". It matches the Rfam family "Bacterial large subunit ribosomal RNA", at positions 407 to 2514 of the family's 2925-position model. The record is from RNAcentral. Lineage: Bacteria; Bacillati; Bacillota; Bacilli; Caryophanales; Staphylococcaceae.